CCUCCUACGUCAAAUUUACGCGCUUUAUUGAACGCCACAUCGCCUAUAUUCUGAUCGACACCGUGGACAUCAACAUUGAUUCAAAACGCCUCCCGAUCCACUGUGUCGUAUCAUAUCCACGUUUAACGUUAGAAGGACACCAUGUUGCUUCCAAGCGGAUCCAUUUGCCUUCAUGCCGGACUCCUAUGUAUCCGACGGAUCUCCUUUACAAUCCCACAAAUCGUUUAGUUCCCAUUUUCCAAGAAACACAAACAUCCCCUACAAUCCACCGACAGGCUCUAUCUUUUCUAACUGCAACCCCGCAUUUCUCCCCAGCACAACUCCGAUCGGCGAUCACAUCACCCAAAAGUAUCUCAAACUGAUUUGGCGGGGAUAGGAUUUGCUUCUUCAUCUUUCUUUCAUCGGGAUUGCGCUCUCGGUUUCUCCUUUUCUUCAUUUUCCUCUCUUUCUCGAGGCGAAGAUAGAGCACCGGGUAUUCCAGAUUACAAAAACCCUUAAACAUGUUCUUCGUCAUUGGCAAAAACCCGCCUCACCAGAAAAACUCUAUAACGUCUGAACCCAAAUCAGUUAUGAAGAUUAAAUCGAAAUCAAGCAUGCUAAUCAAUGAUGAAGAAGAUAUCAGAUCAAUCGGGGUUAGGGAAUAUCAGGGCCACAAGAAGAAGGUCAAAUCUCAUUCUUCUCUCCUCCUCGCUAAAACCUAAUUAUUAGUUUUUCUGUUAAUUAAUAGUCGCCCUGUGCCCAUGGUUGUUCUGUUCAUUAAAAGUCUUGGAAUUGCAUUCAAUAGCUUGGAAUUGCAUCAGAACAAAGCUUGCCUUAGGUUCAGACGAUCAAACGGCUCCGAUAGGCCAAGGGAACUGGAAAGAGAAGAAACGGGAGAUUCCUGCUUUGUUAUUUCACAUAUUGAUAAACGUUUGCUCCCAUUGAAUAUAAAGCUUUUGAUAAACGUCUAGCUUUCUGGUCCUUUUUCCUCUUCUGCUUCCGCAAAACCACCCAGAAGUACGUAUUAAUCUAUUAUUAUUAUACAAUAAAACAAUCAAUAGGUGUAUGUUAAUCUCCAAUAAAUAUGUGUUCCUGGUUAUUUUUUUAUUGUUUUCUUUUAAGAAAAGGAAGGAGUGAAUUUUUGUCACAAAGAACUUUCAUGGAUGUGUUGUCAACUUGUAAUGGUUUUAAGAUUUCAUACUGUUUGAUAAACCUUACUUCAUAAAGAGUAAUAAAGGUAAUAAUGUAAUGAACGGACAUUGGGAUCCUUAAAAAAAUAAGGAUUUAACUCCUAGAAUUAUAGUGGAUCAUAUUGAAGGGGUUUGAACCCAAGAUUCUCAACUAGAAAGAAACAAAUGGAUUUAGUUAAAACCGGUGAAUUUGAAGCAUUAAAAUUUCAUUAUUAUUAUAAUAAUCGAUUUUAUGAGGAUUAAAAAAGAUUGUUCACAAUAGACCCAUGAAGUAUUUCUCAAUUACUUCACUAAUUUAAUCGACUUCAGUUCAAUAGUUUUUGAUUUAUAAUAACUUAAUGAUCAACUGUUUUCAUAUUGUUUGAAGAAAUUUUUAUCAAAUUUCUUGUUAUUCCACCAUAUAAUAGAACGUAUCACCAUUUUAAUCCGUUUUUCAAAGAAACAACUCCAUCAGUUCAAUUAUGGAAUCUUUACCAUAUGUUAGUUUUAAUAGUUGGAAAGUUCUUAAUGAUCAUGUAGUAGCUAUUAGUGCCUAAAACAUGCACAUGUUAAGAGGCCUAUUAAUAGUCAUCCACUUACUUUUUUGAGAUUAAUGAGAUUUGGCUAUAUUAGCUUAAUAGAGCAUAUUAGCAUUGAAGGAAAACAUUCUAGAAAUAAAGAACCGAACCAGAUAUGGUUUCCACAUACCGGUUAUAUCACCAUCUAUUGUAUAAUAGUUUGUGGCUACUUGAAGACCCAAAGUCCCAAGAAUAUACAACUUGACCUGAGAUGUAAAAAAGGUUGUUUCCAAGAUGGUCAAAUUGUCUUUGAUUUUUUAUAUGUGUAAAGUAAAUUACCAACCAAAGAAAUAUAUAUUAAGAAAAGGGAUUCCGUCAAGAUUGCUAAAGUUUUUUUUGGUGUUUGUAGAGACACUCUUUGACGAAUUUGUUCCGAUUCUUUUAUUUGGGUACCAAGCAAAGGUAAUGAUGGUCCGUAAUCAACGCCUCUUAUGUAUAUUAUCAAUGAGAUUUGAGUUAAUGGAGGUUAGACUUUGAUUAGAUUAGUUUCUUGAUCUUAAAAUCGAAAUAUUCUCAAAAAAAAUAAAAAAUAAAAAAUAAGCCGUUAUCUUCUUUUUUCAGCUAACAUCUUGUCAUAUGUUGCCAAAUUUCAGUGAGUGCCGGUGAGACAACAUUAGUCUUGAUAUAUUAUAAAGCACACUUAAAUUUUUUGAAAUGAACGGCUAAAAGCACUAUAUAUAUAUCAAUUUACUUCCAUUAAUUUGUUUAUUAUAGUGUCCUACUUUCAUUUCCUCAUAUUGCAAUAUUAUACAUAAUUAUACACAUCGAGAUUUGAUGAAUUGAAAUGAGUGGCUAUUCAAUAAAUACUUGUGUAUGAUCUUUAAUAUUCUCAUAGUUUCAUGGUUUGUAAAUUUGGUCUUUUAACUAUUGCUAUAAAAUUUCCAUUUAAUUUGUUGCUAAUCAUAAAAUGUAUUUCAAGCAGUUAAAAAGAUGAACCAAGUUAAGCCCUUUGACUGUCUGAUUUAUGCCUCUUGCUAAAAAAUGUAGGUAAAUUUCUUCUUUUGACAUUUGUAAUAACUGCAUGCUAUAGAGUUAUGCUUUGAUAAUUUUUUUUCCAUCAUGGGUGAAGUAGUGUGUAGAUUAAUGAUAUUUAUGCCAAUUGUCAUGCUCACAUGGUUCCCUUCAUAUCAUAGUUCCCAAACAAGGUUGUUGUUCGACCAUGCCUUCAUUAGAGGUAUCUAAAUUUUAAUGAUUAAUGAGGAAACACACGGAAAGGGCUAAACCUAUUUGAUGGGUUAUUUGUGUUUUAUAGCAUCAUACUCUUAUUUCUUGUUAUCAACGAUUAUACUAUCAAAUUUUACUUAUUAAGGCUUUGUAUAAUGAAAAAUCCACUCAAAUAUGGCAUUGUACUUUCAAAUACCUAACUUAUCCUCUAUGUGAAGGAGCUACUAGAUUUCCAGGGUGGGUCGUGCUGAGCACGGGCCUCUAACUUUCCUAGAUCACUUUGUAUACUACUACUAUGAUUCCAGUCGUUCCAUAUAGAUCUUUUGAACUACAUAAUUUCAUAUACCAUCAGGUCAAAAAAAAAAAAGAUUGAUUAGAUACAUAAUUCAGAUGUUGUAUCAAUUCAUAUGCAUUCAUGGCG
Lactuca sativa (garden lettuce) is the source of this 3311-nucleotide long non-coding RNA. RefSeq lists it as uncharacterized. NCBI's taxonomy places the organism in Eukaryota, Viridiplantae, Streptophyta, Magnoliopsida, Asterales, Asteraceae. The record is from RefSeq and is a predicted model, not a curated record.